UACGUAGGGUGCGAGCGUUGUCCGGAAUUAUUGGGCGUAAAGAGCUCGUAGGCGGUCUGUUACGUCAACUGUGAAAACUCGGGGCUCAACCCCGAGCCUGCAGUCGAUACGGGCAGACUAGAGUUCGGCAGGGGAGACUGGAAUUCCUGGUGUAGCGGUGAAAUGCGCAGAUAUCAGGAGGAACACCGGUGGCGAAGGCGGGUCUCUGGGCCGAAACUGACGCUGAGGAGCGAAAGCGUGGGGAGCGAACAGG
RNAcentral lists this ribosomal RNA (253 nucleotides) under uncultured bacterium. Its description in RNAcentral is "partial 16S ribosomal RNA". It matches the Rfam family "Bacterial small subunit ribosomal RNA", at positions 524 to 776 of the family's 1533-position model. The record is from RNAcentral.